AUUGGGCCGUUGGCCGCCGGCCCAGCAUGGCGGCCGCCGAUUGGCUGCGGGCCGGCGGGCGGGGCCCGGCGCUGGUUGCCGGGGCGGCGGAUGGCGGCGGCGGCUCCUCGAUGGCGGCGGGGCUGAGCGCGGACCCUGCACCGGCGGCCGGGACGCGGGGACUCCCCCUUCGGUGCGGGGAGGCCCAGUCCUCGGGAAAAAGGGGGAGAGAGAGAGAGGCUGAUACUGAAGCCAACCAGCUGCGCUUUUGAGUGGGAAACUCCGGACUGAUCUCAUGGCUUGCUUUUUAUUUCAUUAAUACUUCAUUAUCUCUGAAAAUGAACCUUUUGUGAAGCUCUUCUAACUCUCCUUAUUCCUCUUUCACGAGGUGGCUGCUGCUGUGCAAGGGAAGGAAUGGCAUGAAGUAAAUGACUCCAGUAUAAAGCAAUCUGCUUUGCCCAAGUGCCCAGUGGGCAGCACUGUCACUUUAAUAAUUCCAGGUCAAGGGAUUGCUUUCCUCGUUUUCAAUCCUCUCUUUUAAUACAUGGGAGGAUCAGAGGGACAUUAAAGACCGUAAGGCUGGGUGGCUUGCAGAUAAUAAAAAUGAAAGUGCCCAGUGACUUCUGUUGGGUAAGAGGGUGAUAUUUGAAGGCAGUUGUCUGGUGAGGAAAAAGGGAUCUUUUCAGUCUGCUGUGUAGUCACCUAAUACAUAGCUAGCAGAAUUAAUUCAAGAAGUGAAAGAGCUUAAAGAGGCACUUUGGAUUGUUUUUGUCUUCCUCCUUAUUUGGAUUACUUGGGCGUUUUUGUCCUGCAAAUAAUAUGUUUUUGAGCAUGUACAGGUGGAGUAUUGAGACAGCUGCCUAGAGAUGGACUGUGCCUUAAUUGUAUUGCAUAAAAUCUUUUAAUUUUCAAACUUUUCUGCCAGAAGAGGAGUUAUAAUAAGGUUUUAUAUUGCCAAGGAACGUUUGCUCUUGUAUUUUUAUAGAGUCAAAUAUAUUUUAAAGAAAUUGAAAGCAUCUCUUAAAGAAAGAAUCAAAAAGCUUCUUUCCCCCCCUUUUUUUCUUCUUAUUUGUGGAGAGCAUCGGAAGUCCAAUCCAAGGGAACAGCAAGUAUUCAUAGAAAUGAAGAUUGAAGCUGCAUUUCCUUACUGAACUGUAGAAGUGUUCUGCAAUAGAUAGUCAGUUCCUGACCUUGCAGAGUGUUCCAGUAGUACUUCGUUAGUACCUGUAAAUAAGUGCUUGCAACCAGAUUCAGAAGUAGGAAGAAGAAUGCCAGUCAAGAAGAAAGAUACUGACCGAGCUUUAGUGCUGCUGGAGGAAUAUUGCAAAAAACUACGGAAGCCAGAAGAGCAACAAUUGAAAAAAGCCAUCAGAAAGGUGAUGGGCAUCUUUAAGAGCAGCUUGUUCCAGGCACUUCUAGUUUUCUGAAAGUGAAGAGAACAAAUUGAAAGUUACAGUCUGAGAAGAUUAAUAGGGACAUCUGACUCUUGAGGGGGCAACAGUCCUCUCAUGUGGCAAUGCAUUAUGAGCAACAAAAAAGGUUCUUCUACUCUGGUAUUUUUCAGAGUUCAACUUCAGCCACCAGCCUGCACCCCUAGGACCAUUAUUAACCACUACAGCUGUAUGGCUUGCAUCAUGGCACUUCUUGACAUCUAGGAAAACUCAAUCGUUCUGCUAUAAGGAAUGUGGACAUGAAGACCAGCUUGUGUAUUUGUGUCCCUGAAUGUCUUCCACUUGAGGAAAAACCUGUGUGCUAUUGGAUAAGGUCCUGAAGCAUAAUUUAAAAGCAUCACCAGAAGGAAAAACCCAUCAUGAAGUGGAAGAAAGUCUUCUUGAACAUUAUUCAUUUGAAUCAUGGAUCUGUAUAGAAGCAGAUAUUGGCAUGAUGCAGCUGAUAUGUGACAGAGUACCAAAUGGAUGUCCUUUGAGAAGUCAGUUGUAACUUCCCUAAGCCAUCGCUAUUCUCCUAGUAGGCCAUAUUUUUAAGGAAAUUGCUCAGUAUGCGUAUCAGCUUUCCUGGUCCUAAAUUCUUUUAAGCUGCAUAUUUCUUUCAGAGUGAAAAUUUGAGACAGUGUAGCCCAUGAAUUGCUGUGAAGGUGUCGAAGCCACAUUCCUCACUUCUAAGGGACUGGUGUGGUAGCUUACAGGAGUCUAAUGUUCCAUGCAAUUUAUGAUUUUCCACUUUAUUGAAGAAAUAAUUCUGUUUGUGGUUUUAUGAACUUGCAGUCUUGAAUACACAGUACUGCAGGUCACAAUUUUAUCUAUAGGCUGUUCCAUCUUAAAUGAAGAAAUACUAUAUGUUGUUAAAAUCUUGAUCUACAAGAGUUUGCAAAAAAAAAAAAAAAGAUGUUUGACUUAAAAUACAAUUUUUAAAAGUUGAACAUUUCUUAUUAAAAUUUCUU
Molecule: long non-coding RNA, 2380 nt
Organism: Poecile atricapillus (Black-capped chickadee)
Lineage: Eukaryota; Metazoa; Chordata; Aves; Passeriformes; Paridae
Exons: 5
Source: RefSeq, a predicted model, not a curated record